UACACACGGAUAACAUACCGAAAGGUAUGCUAAUACGGGAUAAUAUAUUUGAGAGGCAUCUCUUAAAUAUCAAAGGUGAGCCAGUACAGGAUGGACCCGCGUCUGAUUAGCUAGUUGGUAAGGUAACGGCUUACCAAGGCGACGAUCAGUAGCCGACCUGAGAGGGUGAUCGGCCACAUUGGAACUGAGACACGGUCCAAACUCCUACGGGAGGCAGCAGUGGGGAAUAUUGCACAAUGGGCGAAAGCCUGAUGCAGCAACGCCGCGUGAGUGAUGAAGGCCUUCGGGUCGUAAAACUCUGUCCUCAAGGAAGAUAAUGACGGUACUUGAGGAGGAAGCCCCGGCUAACUACGUGCCAGCAGCCGCGGUAAUACGUAGGGGGCUAGCGCUAUCCGGAUUUACUGGGCGUAAAGGGCGCGUAGGCGGUCUUUCAAGUCAGGAGUGAAAGGCUACGGCUCAACCGUAGUAAGCUCUUGAAACUGGGAGACUUGAGUGCAGGAGAGGAGAGUGGAAUUCCUAGUGUAGCGGUGAAAUGCGUAGAUAUUAGGAGGAACACCAGUUGCGAAGGCGGCUCUCUGGACUGUAACUGACGCUGAGGCACGAAAGCGUGGGGAGCAAACAGGGUUAGAUACCCUGGUAGUCCACGCUGUAAACGAUGAGUACUAGGUGUCGGGGGUUACCCCCUUCGGUGCCGCAGC
This 698-nucleotide ribosomal RNA is filed under the name uncultured bacterium. RNAcentral describes it as "bacterial SSU rRNA". It matches the Rfam family "Bacterial small subunit ribosomal RNA", at positions 134 to 852 of the family's 1533-position model. The record is from RNAcentral.